Molecule: long non-coding RNA, 280 nt
Filed under: Gopherus evgoodei (Goodes thornscrub tortoise)
Lineage: Eukaryota; Metazoa; Chordata; Testudines; Testudinidae
Description: lncRNA (ENSGEVG00005017898.1)
Source: RNAcentral
GAGCGGCGCGUGGGGCGGGGCCAGAGAGUGUAACUGAGACCGGAGCUUCCGGGUGCGGCUGCCCGGCCGGGACGGGUCCGUCCAGCUGCGCGGGGCCCGGGGCGGCGGCGCGGAGCAGCGCCCGGGGGGGAUUGCCAGCCCCCUUCCCCCACGACCUGCUGUUCCAGAUGAGGCGAGGGGAAGGGCCCUGUGCCCCGCAUCUCCAGGACUCCACGCAAAGGGUGGUCCUGAGGAGAACCCGUGCAGGUGGCAGGAGUGAGGCUGAGGUGGGAGAUCUCUG